GACGAACGCUGGCGACGUGCUUAACACAUGCAAGUCGAACGGAAAGGCCCUGCUUGCAGGGUACUCGAGUGGCGAACGGGUGAGUAACACGUGGGUGAUCUGCCCUGCACUUCGGGAUAAGCCUGGGAAACUGGGUCUAAUACCGGAUAGGAGCCAUUUUUAGUGUGAUGGUUGGAAAGUUUUUUCGGUGUAGGAUGAGCUCGCGGCCUAUCAGCUUGUUGGUGGGGUAAUGGCCUACCAAGGCGGCGACGGGUAGCCGGCCUGAGAGGGUGGACGGCCACAUUGGGACUGAGGUACGGCCCAGACUCCUACGGGAGGCAGCAGUGGGGAAUAUUGCACAAUGGGCGCAAGGCUGAUGCAGCGACGCCGCGUGGGGGAUGACGGCCUUCGGGUUGUAAACUCCUUUCGCUAGGGACGAAGCUUUUUGUGACGGUACCUAGAUAAGAAGCACCGGCUAACUACGUG
This 465-nucleotide ribosomal RNA is filed under the name uncultured bacterium. Its description in RNAcentral is "partial 16S ribosomal RNA". It matches the Rfam family "Bacterial small subunit ribosomal RNA", at positions 28 to 507 of the family's 1533-position model. The record is from RNAcentral.